GCGGUGGUGGUGAAAGGCGAGCAUCGCUGCCCGGAAAGCAGAAGAUGCGGGUUCGAGUCCCGCCUGGCGCA
Heligmosomoides polygyrus is the source of this 71-nucleotide non-coding RNA. NCBI's taxonomy places the organism in Eukaryota, Metazoa, Nematoda, Chromadorea, Rhabditida, Heligmosomidae. The record is from Rfam.